UUCAGAUCACAGUAGAAUCUAGUGGCAGUAGGAGGUGGAGUAGAUGUUUCUCGUUUUUAUUUGUUUGCUUGUUUUUAAUAUAAGAGGAACUAGGGGCUUGAUUCGCAGAGAAAUAGCACCUGGUGAGCAGUUCACAAGAGAACCUGGUGUGACACAAAUGUCACAGCAUCGAAUUUCUGAGAUGCGAUGACCACAUUCACUGAGAUUCUAUUCAUGCUCCAAAGCCAUGCUAAAACUUCAUCUGGAGGACUUCUUCUGGAUCUCCCCAGCUAUCCAUGCUUCUUGUGACAUAUUUCACUGCAACUGCUUGUUGGCCAGUCUUCUCACUAGAUGCUCAGCCUGGCAAAGGCAGGAGAUGCCUUCUUCACCUAUCUACUUCCAGCCCACAGCACUGAGCCUGGCACAUGGAGUCCAGGAAGCCGAAGUUCCAAGAUUCAUUCUCUCUGCCCACUUCCCGUCUCAAACCCCGACACGACUAAGGUGUCUUGCCUAAUAUUUACAACUUCAUGGACCAGGAACAGCAAAAAGGUCUAUUCCCGCAUGUUAAUUCUGACAGUUGCUGAGGAUGCUGGGCCUGCCCCUGGGCUAGACGGGAAAGGGAUCUGUGAUCAGUUAAUGAUGUCUGCCACAGGUGCAGCAAAGGAAAGUGGUCCUCUAGGCGCCACCGAUUUGCCAGCUCGAGCACAGACCAAAGUGGAAGAGAAGGAUGGGCCCCUAAAAGCCCAGGCCGAGCGGCAGGACACAGGCGUGGGGUUCUGACUCUCCAUUAUUCCUUGCCUCUAAGUUAGAACAUAGAUUCUAUAAAAGAGGAGCAAGUCUUUUCACUGGCAGACAUACUGCUGGCCAAUCUCCAUUUCCUUCAUGGCUCUGAUUAACUUAGCCCCAUGUCCCUCCUGGUCCCUUAGUCCCUUCGCUGUCUUCUCCCUCUACCAAUGUGUGUGAGGUGGGGAAGGAGUGGCGGUUAAUGUUGGGUCCUGAAUUUAGAGACAGGAAAUGUGAGUUAGCUGGGGAGCGAAGACAUGGGCCACCCACCUUCUGC
Camelus dromedarius (Arabian camel) is the source of this 1039-nucleotide long non-coding RNA. RefSeq lists it as uncharacterized. The record is from RefSeq and is a predicted model, not a curated record. NCBI's taxonomy places the organism in Eukaryota, Metazoa, Chordata, Mammalia, Artiodactyla, Camelidae. The transcript has 4 exons.